This 354-nucleotide ribosomal RNA is filed under the name uncultured bacterium. RNAcentral describes it as "bacterial SSU rRNA". It matches the Rfam family "Bacterial small subunit ribosomal RNA", at positions 1 to 334 of the family's 1533-position model. The record is from RNAcentral.
GUACUACUCUCAGAGUUUGAUCCUGGCUCAGGAUGAACGCUGGCGGCGUGCAUAACACAUUCAAGUCGAACGGAGUUUGUUGAAUUAAUCCUUCGGGAAGCGUUUAAUGAACUUAGUGGCGGACGGGUGAGUAACGCGUGAGCAACCUGCCUCUGUAAGUGGAAUAACGUCUGGAAACGGACGCUAAUACCGCAUAACACAUAGUGAUCGCAUGGUUAUUAUGUCAAAGAUUUAUCGUACAGAGAUGGGCUCGCGUCCCAUUAGGUAGUUGGUGAGGUAACGGCCCACCAAGCCGACGAUGGGUAGCCGGACUGAGAGGUUGAACGGCCGCAUUGGAACUGAGAUACGGUCCAG